AUUGAACGCUGGCGGCAUGCUUUACACAUGCAAGUCGAACGGCAGCGCGGGCUUCGGCCUGGCGGCGAGUGGCGAAUGGGUGAGUAAUACAUCGGAACGUGCCCAGUAGUGGGGGAUAGCUCGGCGAAAGCCGGAUUAAUACCGCAUACGACCUGAGGGUGAAAGCGGGGGAUCUUCGGACCUCGCGCUAUUGGAGCGGCCGACGGCAGAUUAGCUAGUUGGUGGGGUAAAGGCCUACCAAGGCGACGAUCUGUAGCUGGUCUGAGAGGACGACCAGCCACACUGGGACUGAGACACGGCCCAGACUCCUACGGGAGGCAGCAGUGGGGAAUUUUGGACAAUGGGCGAAAGCCUGAUCCAGCAAUGCCGCGUGUGUGAUGAAGGCCUUCGGGUUGUAAAGCACUUUUGGCGGGAACGAAAAGGACUGUGCCAAUACCACGGUUCGAUGACGGUACCCGCAGAAUAAGCACCGGCUAACUACGUG
Molecule: ribosomal RNA, 484 nt
Filed under: uncultured bacterium
Lineage: Bacteria
Description: partial 16S ribosomal RNA
Rfam family: Bacterial small subunit ribosomal RNA
Source: RNAcentral